Molecule: ribosomal RNA, 253 nt
Filed under: uncultured bacterium
Lineage: Bacteria
Description: partial 16S ribosomal RNA
Rfam family: Bacterial small subunit ribosomal RNA
Source: RNAcentral
UACAGAGGUGGCAAGCGUUGUUCGGAAUUACUGGGCGUAAAGGGCGCGUAGGCGGCUUUUUAAGUCAGACGUGAAAUCCCCCGGCUUAACCUGGGAACUGCGUCUGAUACUGGGAAGCUUGAGUUCGGGAGAGGGAUGUAGAAUUCCAGGUGUAGCGGUGAAAUGCGUAGAUAACUGGAGGAAUACCGGUGGCGAAGGCGGCAUCCUGGACCGAAACUGACGCUGAGGCGCGAAAGCUAGGGGAGCAAACGGG